UUGGCAGGCCAUGCACAAAAUAUCACAGCUCGUAAAUCGACAGCACAGCUGAGGCCCCGCAACUCCCCCUACCGCACUGCCUUUGAGUAGUCAAUGUGUCCUCUGUGCUGGUCCGGGGCGUUUUUUUGGGGCGUCGGCUGGCGCGCGAAUUAUGCCACCAAGCGGCAACAAAUGAAAUGAGCACCAAGACCAAACAAGAAGAAAAAUCUGUGGAUUGUUUUUCAUGCAUUGCUAAAUUGGCCUGGCCUGAGCUUGUGAUGCAGCCUUGCCGCCAGUUGCCAUGUUGCAAGUUGCCAGUUGCCCCUUGCUCGGUGCCAUGUUGCACGUGCGCCUUGCGCCUGGCUUCCAAACGGGUUUUGCGCUCUGGGCUUUGCGCGCACUUUAAUUUGCCAAAUGGCAGCAGCGGCAAAGAUAACUAAAGCCGCGCUAUGGAGACGGCAACUGGGACUAAGACCACGUCUACAACUGCGACUGUGCUGAAGGACAUUUGGCGUCUGGGCAAAUGAGCUAGAAAAAUUGCGAAAAUGCAGCCGCAACAAAGUAGAAAAACGCAGCACACAAAUUGUGGCCAUGCUUUGACUGUCAGGCCAAAAGCUCCACACACUAUGAAAUAAUGCAUUCGUUACUUAUAUCUGAAUUCAUGAAUCGAUCGUCUUGAGACUUUCAUUGCUUAAAGAUGCCAUUUAUAUAUGUUUUUAUACUAACAAUCAAGUAUUUAUGUAUGUUCAUUAAAGAACCUAACUUCAAUAUACCCUUUCUUACACAUUUUAA
Molecule: long non-coding RNA, 771 nt
Organism: Drosophila montana
Lineage: Eukaryota; Metazoa; Arthropoda; Insecta; Diptera; Drosophilidae
Exons: 2
Source: RefSeq, a predicted model, not a curated record